This 253-nucleotide ribosomal RNA is filed under the name uncultured bacterium. Its description in RNAcentral is "partial 16S ribosomal RNA". It matches the Rfam family "Bacterial small subunit ribosomal RNA", at positions 524 to 776 of the family's 1533-position model. The record is from RNAcentral.
UACAUGGGGUGCAAACGUUGCUCGGAAUUAUUGGGCGUAAAGAGCUCGUAGGCGGUCUGUCGCGUCGGCUGUGAAAUCCCGAGGCUCAACCUCGGGUCUGCAGUCGAUACGGGCAAACUAGAGUAUUGCAGGGGAGACUGGAAUUCCUGGUGUAGCGGUGAAAUGCGCAGAUAUCAGGAGGAACACCGGUGGCGAAGGCGGGUCUCUGGGCAAUAACUGACGCUGAGGAGCGAAAGCGUGGGGAGCGAACAGG